This 289-nucleotide ribosomal RNA is filed under the name uncultured crenarchaeote. Its description in RNAcentral is "partial 16S ribosomal RNA". The stretch from base 1 to 226 matches the Rfam family "Archaeal small subunit ribosomal RNA", at positions 166 to 375 of the family's 1478-position model. Lineage: Archaea; Thermoproteati; Thermoproteota. The record is from RNAcentral.
UCUUCUGGAAAGCGAGAUGACUUAAAGGGGCAUUCACCUUCUUUCGCACAUCUGCUCCAGGAUGGGACUGCGCCCGAUCAGGCUGUUGGCGGGGUAAUGGCCCACCAAACCAGUAACCGGUACGGUCAUUGAGAGAGGGGGCCCGGAGAUGGACAGUGAGAGAAGGGUCCAGGUCCUACGGGGCACAGCAGGCGGGACAGUAACGCAAGGCUCAGUAGCGCCGGAGCAGUAACAGAGGGGUCAGUGACGAGGGGGUCAGUGUCAGCGUAAAAAGGCCGGCGAAUUACCC